Molecule: ribosomal RNA, 101 nt
Filed under: Acinetobacter sp.
Lineage: Bacteria; Pseudomonadati; Pseudomonadota; Gammaproteobacteria; Moraxellales; Moraxellaceae
Also listed under: 6 other names
Source: RNAcentral
CAAGAGUGAACCACCUGAUCCCUUCCCGAACUCAGAAGUGAAACCUCUUAGCGCUGAUGGUAGUGUGGGGUUACCCAUGUGAGAGUAAGUCAUCGCCAGCU